AGAGUUUGAUCCUGGCUCAGGAUGAACGCUAGCGGCAGGCUUAAUACAUGCAAGUCGAGGGGCAGCACAGGUAGCAAUACUGGGUGGCGACCGGCAAACGGGUGCGGAACACGUACGGAACCUUCCUUUAAGCGGGGAAUAGCCCAGGGAAACUUGGAUUAAUACCCCAUAAUACUUUUGAGUGGCAUCACUUGAUAGUUAAAGCUCCGGCACUUAAAGAUGGGCGUGCGGCUGAUUAGGUAGUUGGCGGGGUAACGGCCCACCAAGCCAACGAUCAGUAACUGGUGUGAGAGCACGACCAGUCACACGGGCACUGAGACACGGGCCCGACUCCUACGGGAGGCAGCAGUAAGGAAUAUUGGUCAAUGGACGCAAGUCUGAACCAGCCAUGCCGCGUGGAGGAUGAAGGCCCUCUGGGUUGUAAACUUCUUUUAUAGGG
RNAcentral lists this ribosomal RNA (439 nucleotides) under uncultured bacterium. RNAcentral describes it as "bacterial SSU rRNA". It matches the Rfam family "Bacterial small subunit ribosomal RNA", at positions 8 to 443 of the family's 1533-position model. The record is from RNAcentral.